Molecule: ribosomal RNA, 253 nt
Filed under: uncultured bacterium
Lineage: Bacteria
Description: partial 16S ribosomal RNA
Rfam family: Bacterial small subunit ribosomal RNA
Source: RNAcentral
UACUGCGGGUGCCCGCGUUCCUCGGCCUUCCUGGGCGUCCCGCGCCCGCAGGCGGUUGGAUAAGUUAGAUGUGAAAGCCCCGGGCUCAACCUGGGAAUUGCAUUUAAAACUGUCCAGCUAGAGUCUUGUAGAGGGGGGUAGAAUUCCAGGUGUAGCGGUGAAAUGCGUAGAGAUCUGGAGGAAUACCGGUGGCGAAGGCGGCCCCCUGGACAAAGACUGACGCUCAGGUGCGAAAGCGUGGGGAGCAAACAGG